GACGAACGCUGGCGGCGUGCCUAAUACAUGCAAGUUGAGCGCUGAAGGUUGGUACUUGUACCAACUGGAUGAGCAGCGAACGGGUGAGUAACGCGUGGGGAAUCUGCCUUUGAGCGGGGGACAGCAUUUGGAAACGAAUGCUAAUACCGCAUAAAAACUUUAAACACAAGUUUUAAGUUUGAAAGAUGCAAUUGCAUCACUCAAAGAUGAUCCCGCGUUGUAUUAGCUAGUUGGUGAGGUAAAGGCUCACCAAGGCGAUGAUACAUAGCCGACCUGAGAGGGUGAUCGGCCACAUUGGGACUGAGACACGGUCCAAACUCCUACGGGAGGCAGCAGUAGGGAAUCUUCGGCAAUAGACGAAAGUCUGACCGAGCAACGCCGCGUGAGUGAAGAAGGUUUUCGGAUCGUAAAACUCUGUUGGUAGAGAAGAACGUUGGUGAGAGUGGAAAGCUCAUCAAGUGACGGUAACUACCCAGAAAGGGACGGCUAACUACGUG
This 497-nucleotide ribosomal RNA is filed under the name uncultured bacterium. Its description in RNAcentral is "partial 16S ribosomal RNA". It matches the Rfam family "Bacterial small subunit ribosomal RNA", at positions 28 to 507 of the family's 1533-position model. The record is from RNAcentral.